RNAcentral lists this ribosomal RNA (221 nucleotides) under uncultured Methanomicrobiaceae archaeon. RNAcentral describes it as "partial 16S ribosomal RNA". It matches the Rfam family "Archaeal small subunit ribosomal RNA", at positions 424 to 644 of the family's 1478-position model. Lineage: Archaea; Methanobacteriati; Methanobacteriota; Methanomicrobia; Methanomicrobiales; Methanomicrobiaceae. The record is from RNAcentral.
AAGCAUGCGAAGAAAGGGCCGGGCAAGACCGGUGCCAGCCGCCGCGGUAAUACCGGCGGCUCGAGUGGUGGCCACUAUUACUGGGCUUAAAGCGUUCGUAGCUGGGUUGUUAAGUCUCUUGGGAAAUCUAUCGGCUUAACCGAUAGGCGUCCAAGGGAUACUGGCAAUCUAGGGACGGGAGAGGUGAGGGGUUACUUCAGGGGUAGGAGUGAAAUCUGUAU